RNAcentral lists this ribosomal RNA (253 nucleotides) under uncultured bacterium. Its description in RNAcentral is "partial 16S ribosomal RNA". It matches the Rfam family "Bacterial small subunit ribosomal RNA", at positions 524 to 776 of the family's 1533-position model. The record is from RNAcentral.
UACAGAGGGGGCAAGCGUUGUUCGGAAUUACUGGGCGUAAAGGGCGCGUAGGCGGCCUGUUAAGUCGGACGUGAAAUCCCUCGGCUCAACCGGGGAACUGCGUCCGAUACUGGCGGGCUUGAAUUCGGGAGAGGGAUGUGGAAUUCCAGGUGUAGCGGUGAAAUGCGUAGAUAUCAGGAGGAACACCGGUGGCGAAGGCGGAUCUCUGGGCCUUACCUGACGCUCAGGUGCGAAAGCUAGGGGAGCGAACAGG